This 554-nucleotide ribosomal RNA is filed under the name Rhodotorula mucilaginosa. RNAcentral describes it as "LSU rRNA". It matches the Rfam family "Eukaryotic large subunit ribosomal RNA", at positions 86 to 657 of the family's 3401-position model. The record is from RNAcentral. Lineage: Eukaryota; Fungi; Basidiomycota; Microbotryomycetes; Sporidiobolales; Sporidiobolaceae.
GCGGCGAGCGAGCGGGAAGAGCUCAAAUUUAUAAUCUGGCACCUUCGGUGUCCGAGUUGUAAUCUCUAGAAAUGUUUUCCGCGUUGGACCGCACACAAGUCUGUUGGAAUACAGCGGCAUAGUGGUGAGACCCCCGUAUAUGGUGCGGACGCCCAGCGCUUUGUGAUACAUUUUCGAAGAGUCGAGUUGUUUGGGAAUGCAGCUCAAAUUGGGUGGUAAAUUCCAUCUAAAGCUAAAUAUUGGCGAGAGACCGAUAGCGAACAAGUACCGUGAGGGAAAGAUGAAAAGCACUUUGGAAAGAGAGUUAACAGUACGUGAAAUUGUUGGAAGGGAAACGCUUGAAGUCAGACUUGCUUGCCGAGCAAUCGGUUUGCAGGCCAGCAUCAGUUUUCCGGGAUGGAUAAUGGUAGAGAGAAGGUAGCAGUUUCGGCUGUGUUAUAGCUCUCUGCUGGAUACAUCUUGGGGGACUGAGGAACGCAGUGUGCCUUUGGCGGGGGUUUCGACCUCUUCACACUUAGGAUGCUGGUGGAAUGGCUUUAAACGACCCGUCUUGA